GAGUAAUGUCUGGGAAACUGCCUGAUGGAGGGGGAUAACUACUGGAAACGGUGGCUAAUACCGCAUAACGUCGCAAGACCAAAGAGGGGGACCUUCGGGCCUCUUGCCAUCAGAUGUGCCCAGAUGGGAUUAGCUUGUUGGUGAGGUAACGGCUCACCAAGGCGACGAUCCCUAGCUGGUCUGAGAGGAUGACCAGCCACACUGGAACUGAGACACGGUCCAGACUCCUACGGGAGGCAGCAGUGGGGAAUAUUGCACAAUGGGCGCAAGCCUGAUGCAGCCAUGCCGCGUGUAUGAAGAAGGCCUUCGGGUUGUAAAGUACUUUCAGCGGGGAGGAAGGUGUUGUGGUUAAUAACCGCAGCAAUUGACGUUACCCGCAGAAGAAGCACCGGCUAACUCCGUGCCAGCAGCCGCGGUAAUACGGAGGGUGCAAGCGUUAAUCGGAAUUACUGGGCGUAAAGCGCACGCAGGCGGUCUGUCAAGUCGGAUGUGAAAUCCCCGGGCUCAACCUGGGAACUGCAUUCGAAACUGGCAGGCUUGAGUCUUGUAGAGGGGGGUAGAAUUCCAGGUGUAGCGGUGAAAUGCGUAGAGAUCUGGAGGAAUACCGGUGGCGAAGGCGGCCCCCUGGACAAA
RNAcentral lists this ribosomal RNA (633 nucleotides) under Salmonella enterica subsp. enterica serovar Thompson. RNAcentral describes it as "bacterial SSU rRNA". It matches the Rfam family "Bacterial small subunit ribosomal RNA", at positions 108 to 737 of the family's 1533-position model. RNAcentral also lists the same sequence under 8 other names. The record is from RNAcentral. Lineage: Bacteria; Pseudomonadati; Pseudomonadota; Gammaproteobacteria; Enterobacterales; Enterobacteriaceae.